This 473-nucleotide ribosomal RNA is filed under the name uncultured bacterium. RNAcentral describes it as "SSU rRNA". It matches the Rfam family "Bacterial small subunit ribosomal RNA", at positions 26 to 518 of the family's 1533-position model. The record is from RNAcentral.
AGGACGAACGCUGGCGGCGUGCUUAACGACAUGCAAGUCGAGCGGAAAGGCCCUUCGGGGUACUCGAGCGGCGAACGGGUGAGUAACACGUGAGCAACCUGCCCCUGGCUCUGGGAUAGCCUCCGGAAACGGGGAUUAAUACCGGACAUUCUCCUCCUUCCGCAUGGUUGGGGGUGGAAAGUUUUUCGGCCAGGGAGGGGCUCGCGGCCUAUCAGCUUGUUGGCGGGGUAACGGCCCACCAAGGCGACGACGGGUAGCCGGCCUGAGAGGGCGACCGGCCACACUGGGACUGAGACACGGCCCAGACUCCUACGGGAGGCAGCAGUGGGGAAUAUUGCGCAAUGGGCGAAAGCCUGACGCAGCGACGCCGCGUGGGGGAUGAAGGCCUUCGGGUUGUAAACCCCGUUUCACCAGGAGCGAAUCAAGACGGUACCUGGGGAAGAAGCGCCGGCUAACUACGUGCCAGUAGCCGC